RNAcentral lists this ribosomal RNA (887 nucleotides) under Pestalotiopsis australis. RNAcentral describes it as "LSU rRNA". It matches the Rfam family "Eukaryotic large subunit ribosomal RNA", at positions 47 to 959 of the family's 3401-position model. Lineage: Eukaryota; Fungi; Ascomycota; Sordariomycetes; Amphisphaeriales; Sporocadaceae. The record is from RNAcentral. RNAcentral also lists the same sequence under 1 other name.
UAAGCGGAGGAAAAGAAACCAACAGGGAUUGCCUUAGUAACGGCGAGUGAAGCGGCAACAGCUCAAAUUUGAAAUCUGGCCCUCGGGUCCGAAUUGUAAUUUGUAGAGGAUGAUUUUGGUGCGGUAUCUUCCGAGUUCCUUGGAACAGGACGCCUUAGAGGGUGAGAGCCCCGUACGGUUGAAUGCCUAGCCUCUGUAAAUCUCCUUCGACGAGUCGAGUAGUUUGGGAAUGCUGCUCUAAAUGGGAGGUAAAUUUCUUCUAAAGCUAAAUAUUGGCCAGAGACCGAUAGCGCACAAGUAGAGUGAUCGAAAGAUGAAAAGCACUUUGAAAAGAGGGUUAAAUAGCACGUGAAAUUGUUGAAAGGGAAGGAUUUGUGACCAGACUUUUUCUGGGCGGAUCAUCCGGGGUUCUCUCCGGUGCACUUUGCCCAGUAAAGGCCAGCAUCGAUUUUCGGCGGCGGAUAAAAGCAGUGGGAAUGUGGCUCCCUACGGGGAGUGUUAUAGCCCAUUGUAUAAUACGCUGCUGGGGAUCGAGGUACGCGCUUCUGCAAGGAUGCUGGCGUAAUGGUUAUCAAUCACCCGUCUUGAAACACGGACCAAGGAGUCGAACAUUUAUGCGAGUGUUUGGGUGUUAAACCCUCACGCGUAAUGAAAGUGAACGGAGGUGAGAGCCCGUACGGGUGCAUCAUCGACCGAUCCUGAAGUUUUCGGAUGGAUUUGAGUAAGAGCAUAACUGUUCGGACCCGAAAGAUGGUGAACUAUGCGUGGAUAGGGUGAAGCCAGAGGAAACUCUGGUGGAGGCUCGCAGCGGUUCUGACGUGCAAAUCGAUCGUCAAAUCUGCGCAUGGGGGCGAAAGACUAAUCGAACCAUCUAGUAGCUGGUUACC